CCUACGGGUGGCAGCAGUCGAGAAUCAUUCACAAUGGGGGAAACCCUGAUGGGGCGACGCCGCGUGGGGGAAUGAAGGUCUGCGGAUUGUAAACCCCUGUCAUGUGGGAGCAAAUUAAAAAGAUAGUACCACAAGAGGAAGAGACGGCUAACGCUGGGCCAGCAGCCGCGGUAAUACAGAGGUCGCAAGCGUUGUUCGGAACCACUGGGCGUAAAGCGUGCGUAGGCGGUUUCGUAAGUCGUGUGUGAAAGGCGCGGGCUCAACCCGCGGACGGCACAUGAUACUGCGAGACUAGAGUAAUGGAGGGGGAACCGGAAUUCUCGGUGUAGCCGUGAAAUGCGUAGAUAUCGCGAGGAACACUCGUGGCGAAGGCGGGUUCCUGGACCUUACCUGACGCUGAGGCACGAAGGCCCGGGGAGCGAAAGGGAUUAGACACCCCGGUAGUC
Molecule: ribosomal RNA, 446 nt
Filed under: uncultured bacterium
Lineage: Bacteria
Description: partial 16S ribosomal RNA
Rfam family: Bacterial small subunit ribosomal RNA
Source: RNAcentral